RNAcentral lists this ribosomal RNA (440 nucleotides) under uncultured bacterium. Its description in RNAcentral is "partial 16S ribosomal RNA". It matches the Rfam family "Bacterial small subunit ribosomal RNA", at positions 338 to 795 of the family's 1533-position model. The record is from RNAcentral.
CCUACGGGAGGCAGCAGUGGGGAAUAUUGCACAAUGGGGGAAACCCUGAUGCAGCGACGCCGCGUGAAGGAAGAAGUAUUUCGGUAUGUAAACUUCUAUCAGCAGGGAAGAAAAUGACGGUACCUGACUCAGAAGCCCCGGCUAACUACGUGCCAGCAGCCGCGGUAAUACGCAGGGGGCAAGCGUUAUCCGGAUUUACUGGGUGUAAAGGGAGCGUAGGCGGUUUAGCAAGUCAGGAGGGAAAGCCCGGGGGUCAACUCCGGGACUGCUUUUGAAACUGCUGAACUAGAUUGCAGGAGAGGUAAGUGGAAUGCCUAGUGUAGCGGUGAAAUGCGUAGAUAUUAGGAGGAACACCAGUGGCGAAGGCGACUUACUGGACUGUAAAUGACGCUGAGGCUCGAAAGCGUGGGGAGCAAACAGGAUUAGAUACCCCAGUAGUC